This 253-nucleotide ribosomal RNA is filed under the name uncultured bacterium. Its description in RNAcentral is "partial 16S ribosomal RNA". It matches the Rfam family "Bacterial small subunit ribosomal RNA", at positions 524 to 776 of the family's 1533-position model. The record is from RNAcentral.
UACGUAGGGGGCAAGCGUUGUCCGGAAUCAUUGGGCGUAAAGAGCGUGUAGGCGGUCCGGUAAGUCGGCUGUGAAAGUCCAGGGCUCAACCCUGGGAUGCCGGUCGAUACUGCCGGACUAGAGUUCGGAAGAGGCGAGUGGAAUUCCCGGUGUAGCGGUGAAAUGCGCAGAUAUCGGGAGGAACACCCAUGGCGAAGGCAGCUCGCUGGGACGUUACUGACGCUGAGACGCGAAAGCGUGGGGAGCAAACAGG